GUGGGGAAUCUUCCGCAAUGGACGAAAGUCUGACGGAGCAACGCCGCGUGAGUGAAGAAGGUUUUCGGAUCGUAAAGCUCUUUCGUUAGGGACGAACGUGCUCUUUGUGAAUAAUGAGGAGUAAUGACGGUACCUAAAUAAGAAGCCACGGCUAACUACGUGCCAGCAGCCGCGGUAAUACGUAGGUGGCAAGCGUUGUCCGGAAUUAUUGGGCGUAAAGCGCGCGCAGGCGGGAUAUCAAGUCUGUCUUAAAAGUGCGAGGCUCAACCUCGUGAGGGGACAGAAACUGGUAUUCUUGAGUGUCGGAGAGGAAAGUGGAAUUCCAAGUGUAGCGGUGAAAUGCGUAGAUAUUAGGAAGAACACCAGUGGCGAAGGCGACUUUCUGGACGAAAACUGACGCUGAGGCGCGAAAGCCAGGGGAGCGAACGGGAUUAGAAACCCGUGUAGUCC
RNAcentral lists this ribosomal RNA (450 nucleotides) under uncultured bacterium. RNAcentral's name for it is "partial 16S ribosomal RNA". It matches the Rfam family "Bacterial small subunit ribosomal RNA", at positions 354 to 796 of the family's 1533-position model. The record is from RNAcentral.